GAGACACCCCUGUGGAGCAGGACUUUCUUCAGUGGAACUUUGGUGCUCACUGAGUCUCCCCUUGAGUGUGUCACU
RNAcentral lists this microRNA precursor (75 nucleotides) under Myotis lucifugus (little brown bat). RNAcentral describes it as "mir-9229 microRNA precursor family". It matches the Rfam family "mir-9229 microRNA precursor family". Lineage: Eukaryota; Metazoa; Chordata; Mammalia; Chiroptera; Vespertilionidae. The record is from Rfam by way of RNAcentral.